This 361-nucleotide ribosomal RNA is filed under the name uncultured bacterium. RNAcentral describes it as "bacterial SSU rRNA". It matches the Rfam family "Bacterial small subunit ribosomal RNA", at positions 28 to 367 of the family's 1533-position model. The record is from RNAcentral.
GACGAACGCUGGCGGCGUGCUUAACACAUGCAAGUCGAACGAGAAGAGAUGAGAAGCUUGCUUCUUAUCAAUUCGAGUGGCAAAACGGGUGAGUAACGCGUAAGCAACCUGCCCUUCAGAUGGGGACAACAGCUGGAAACGGCUGCUAAUACCGAAUACGUUCUUUUGUCGCAUGGCAGAGGGAAGAAAAGGGAGGCUCUUCGGAGCUUUCGCUGAAGGAGGGGCUUGCGUCUGAUUAGCUAGUUGGAGGGGUAACAGCCACCAAGGCGACGAUCAGUAGCCGGUCUGAGAGGAAUGAACGGCCACAUUGGGACUGAGACACGGCCCAAACUCCUACGGGAGCAGCAGUGGGGAAUAUUGC